GUCCCAGACUCCUACGGGAGGCAGCAGUGGGGAAUAUUGCACAAUGGGGGAAACCCUGAUGCAGCGACGCCGCGUGAGUGAAGAAGUAUUUCGGUAUGUAAAGCUCUAUCAGCAGGGAAGAAAAUGACGGUACCUGACUAAGAAGCCCCGGCUAACUACGUGCCAGCAGCCGCGGUAAUACGUAGGGGGCAAGCGUUAUCCGGAUUUACUGGGUGUAAAGGGAGCGUAGACGGCCAGACAAGUCAGAAGUGAAAGCCCAGGGCUCAACCCUGGGACUGCAUUGGAAACUGUCGUGCUGGAGUGUCGGAGGGGCAAGUGGAAUUCCUAGUGUAGCGGUGAAAUGCGUAGAUAUUAGGAGGAACACCAGUGGCGAAGGCGGCUUGCUGGACGACAACUGACGCUGAGGCUCGAAAGCGUGGGGAGCAAACAGGAUUAGAUACCCGAGUAU
RNAcentral lists this ribosomal RNA (448 nucleotides) under uncultured bacterium. RNAcentral describes it as "bacterial SSU rRNA". It matches the Rfam family "Bacterial small subunit ribosomal RNA", at positions 328 to 793 of the family's 1533-position model. The record is from RNAcentral.